AUUGAACGCUGGCGGCAUGCCUUACACAUGCCAGUCGAACGGCAGCACGGGUGCUUGCACCUGGUGGCGAGUGGCGAACGGGUGAGUAAUACAUCGGAACAUGUCCUGUAGUGGGGGAUAGCCCGGCGAAAGCCGGAUUAAUACCGCAUACGAUCCACGGAUGAAAGCGGGGGACCUUCGGGCCUCGCGCUUUCGGGUUGGCCGAUGGCUGAUUAGCUAGUUGGUGGGGUAAAGGCCUACCAAGGCGACGAUCAGUAGCUGGUCUGAGAGGACGACCAGCCACACUGGGACUGAGACACGGCCCAGACUCCUACGGGAGGCAGCAGUGGGGAAUUUUGGACAAUGGGCGAAAGCCUGAUCCAGCAAUGCCGCGUGUGUGAAGAAGGCCUUCGGGUUGUAAAGCACUUUCGUCCGGAAAGAAAUCCUUGGCUCUAAUACAGUCGGGGGAUGACGGUACCGUAAGAAUAAGCACCGGCUAACUACGUG
RNAcentral lists this ribosomal RNA (486 nucleotides) under uncultured bacterium. RNAcentral's name for it is "partial 16S ribosomal RNA". It matches the Rfam family "Bacterial small subunit ribosomal RNA", at positions 30 to 507 of the family's 1533-position model. The record is from RNAcentral.